Long non-coding RNA from Colossoma macropomum (tambaqui), 2613 nucleotides. RefSeq lists it as uncharacterized. The transcript is spliced from 2 exons. Lineage: Eukaryota; Metazoa; Chordata; Actinopteri; Characiformes; Serrasalmidae. The record is from RefSeq and is a predicted model, not a curated record.
AUUUAUUAAUAUUAACUAAGAGGUAUUGAGUGAUUAAUAACUUUUAUUUUGAAAAUUACAUUUCCGGUUGUCGUAGGUCUACGCUCGCUCUUGUUGUUGUCUUCACACAGCUAUCCAACCCCAUUGUUGUUUGUUUUUUCGUUAACCUCUUAAAUCUGCCACAAAACAAAUGAAAGAAACUGAACCGUGUGAAGAAAGCGCUUGUGCUGACCGAGUGAAGUCGCGGAAACGUACUGGAGCUGGAGCUGGAGACCCCACUGCUGCUGCUGCUGCUCAGGUCAUCCUGCAACUCUUGCUGGCUUUUCUGUUACCUUUCUUAUCAUCAGUCUGAGGAAAAUCUUGCCAGCACUCUUAGAAAAAAAGGUAUGAAACUGUCACUGGGGCGUUGCCCCUUUUGUCACUGGAGUGUUACCAUAAAGGGUACAUCUCAGUACCAUUAGUCAGGGAACAUAAUUGUACCAUAAUCCAUUGAAAUUAUACUUUGUAAAUUGUAUUUACUCCACACACCCCGUCUCGUCUCCAGGCUUUUUAUUUUAUUAUUCUGUUUUAAAACAUUAGUUUAUGAAAAGGUAUGAAUAUCAUUUUCCAUUAGCAAAACUUAUUAAAGGUACACAAUUGGACCUUAAAACCACUGCUGUACCUUUGAGGGUACACUUGAAUUGUUUGUAUCUUGAUGGACGAAAAAUUUGCCUGCACAAUACCUUUAUUUUUAACAGUGUGGAGCACCACUUGUUGUGGUUCCAUGAAUAUUCCAAUUGCUUAUUAUCAAACCAGCUUUUCAGUUGCAUAUUAUCAAACCAGUUGUACUGAAGGGGAUGUUUAAGGUCUUUGCUAGGGCUCUGUAGUUUUCCAUACAAGGGUAACCAGUGGCAGCGUCUAUUGUAGUGACACUAGGUGCAAUUUGCCUAAGAACAUUUUUAUUUUCCUGCAUUAAUAUGUAGAACUUAAUUUAUUUUAAUUUUUAAUCUCUAGCUGGUUCUUCUCUCCACAGUGCAAUUAUAAAGUUCUGCUGGAAUAAUUCAAUCAAAAUUAUCUGCCCUCCAAAAGCCUGAACAUCUUGGAGGACUUGGAGCUUUAGAAUUUUACUACUGUUUAUCAUACUAGCUACUUUACAUUCAGCAUUGGACAAGUAAAGCAAACCAACCAUGUUUGAACACUGAAUUCAAGAAUUAGACAUCAACAGCUAUUAAUAAACAACAAUAAACACUUCAUAUUUUCAGCUUGGAGUCAGAGAGGAGUAACCAGCCUGGGACAUUUAUUCACUAAUAGCAUGACGGCUUGUUCAUGACCUUCAACAUAAUCUAGGAAAAGAACAACGUACCAGAUCAGUGUUACUUUUAGUAUAUACAACUUAAAGAGGUUAUAAAGAAAACGAGCAAUUUUCACAGUCCCACUCCUUUUCUCUACUUAAAACUACACAGCCUUAAGCCUCAGAACUGCACAAGAUCAUUUCCUGUUGAAAAAUGGACUGCAGAUAUAGAACAGUCAUGUGAUCCCAACUGGCAAAACAUAAUGGCACAUUCUCUAUGACAAUGAAUUCAAAACUUCAGUUAAUACAAUAUAAAACCUUUCACAUUACAACCCAUAAACUGCACCAUAUGGGAUUUAGCCACAGUACUACAUCCACACUGCCCAGUCUCAACAGACAAUUACUGUCAUACUUUCUGGCUUUGUCCUCAUAUCCAUUAUUUCUGGCCAGAGGUCAUUGGCAAGUUGUCUGAGAUCCUAGGCUUUGGCAUCCCCAUCUGCCUCACUGUAGAACUACUUAAAGGGGAAUACCCCAGCUUUUUCAAGAUUUCUGCAUAAUUAAACGGUUAGGAUGUAAACAAAGUCAUUCAGAGUGGUUUAGUGUGAAAUGCUCCGUUCUAGAGAAACAUCAGAAUUGUUCACAGUGGUGUUGAUGAGAACCAGACAUCUGAAGAUUUUAAUGCCACUGAAACAGGGAUGCAUGAUCUUAUCCACAGAGGGCCGGUGAGGCUGCUGGUAUUCAUUCCAAACUUGUUUAAUCAGUCUCAGUCUUCAAAUAAGUGAUCAUGUGAGCUCCUGCUUUAUUGGAAUGAAAAUCUGCAGCCAAACUGGCCUUUCACAAAUAAGAUUAGAUAAGAACACUCCAGCUCUAAAAGCUCCGUCGUAGAAAGUUAUGACAUGAAAUGGUUAUGUAUACACUGCCUGAUGUCUGAGACAUUGUUUUGCGAUAGGUUUGCAAUUAGAUUUUUGCAAUUAGCUUUUAGUGUAGGUUCACUGGUGGUUUUGGUUUUGAUUUCAAAUAAAGUGGCUAUAUUUGUGUUGUGGACAUUGUGACCUUUGGUUCCUGUUUGCAUCACUGAAUGAGUUUGUUUACAUCUUCAAUGAUUGAAUUAUGCAGACAAAAUGAAAAAUCAGUGGAAUUCCCCUUUAAAGUUAUAAGUGCACAGACUUCUUUAUCUAACAUUAGCAAUCACUGUUAAAAAAUGCUUCUUGGGUGGGAAAAAAGUCUAUAAUUUAAGUUAGUUGGUCAGUCCGUAGUAUUACUAAAUUGUUCAAGAGCUCUGAAUGCUCAUUUUACCUAUUUUCAUAGCCAAGCUACUAAGACCUUUAAACAGCUGACUGCUCAGCUUGUGCACUUGGGUAAAA